This 563-nucleotide ribosomal RNA is filed under the name Salmonella enterica. Its description in RNAcentral is "partial 23S ribosomal RNA". It matches the Rfam family "Bacterial large subunit ribosomal RNA", at positions 626 to 1190 of the family's 2925-position model. Lineage: Bacteria; Pseudomonadati; Pseudomonadota; Gammaproteobacteria; Enterobacterales; Enterobacteriaceae. The record is from RNAcentral. RNAcentral also lists the same sequence under 3 other names.
ACUUAUAUUCUGUAGCAAGGUUAACCGUAUAGGGGAGCCGGAGGGAAACCGAGUCUUAACCGGGCGUUAAGUUGCAGGGUAUAGACCCGAAACCCGGUGAUCUAGCCAUGGGCAGGUUGAAGGUUGGGUAACACUAACUGGAGGACCGAACCGACUAAUGUUGAAAAAUUAGCGGAUGACCUGUGGCUGGGGGUGAAAGGCCAAUCAAACCGGGAGAUAGCUGGUUCUCCCCGAAAGCUAUUUAGGUAGCGCCUCGUGAAUUCAUCUCCGGGGGUAGAGCACUGUUUCGGCUAGGGGGCCAUCCCGGCUUACCAACCCGAUGCAAACUGCGAAUACCGGAGAAUGUUAUCACGGGAGACACACGGCGGGUGCUAACGUCCGUCGUGAAGAGGGAAACAACCCAGACCGCCAGCUAAGGUCCCAAAGUCAUGGUUAAGUGGGAAACGAUGUGGGAAGGCCCAGACAGCCAGGAUGUUGGCUUAGAAGCAGCCAUCAUUUAAAGAAAGCGUAAUAGCUCACUGGUCGAGUCGGCCUGCGCGGAAGAUGUAACGGGGCUAAACCAU